Pelobates cultripes (western spadefoot toad) is the source of this 613-nucleotide non-coding RNA. Lineage: Eukaryota; Metazoa; Chordata; Amphibia; Anura; Pelobatidae. The record is from the annotation of a GenBank genome assembly.
GCCUAUAGUGGUCCUUUAAAUGGAGGGAGUAAGAGGGACCAUAUUUCCACAUCCUGAUUAAUUAGAGGUCUGAGGGAACACUGUUUGUUUCUCAAAGUUUGUCCACCGAAGUUACUCCACCAUGCUGCGUGAAGGUCGCCGUGAUCAAUAUUUUUACUUCAAAUGAGGCAGCCUUUUUUGCAUAAUUGAGGCUGCCUCUUAAACAAUAUAACAAACAAUUAUUGCGAAAGGAAAUACCUUUCUUUUCCCCAUUCUGGCACACCAUACUUUUAUUUUUAGAACUACACUUCCUUUUCUUGGAAAGUCAUGCAACACUAUCAUGUUAACAUGUACUGACUGAUAUUGCUAUAGAAUUUGAUUCAAAAGGUGCAAAGUCCUUUGGUUUGUGUAACUUUGGAAUUUAAAGGACUUUUCCCCCCUCAAAUCAAGAACACUCUGGGCACUAUAACAACUUAAUCAAAAUAACAUUUUUAUGGUGCCAGGAGCUCCCUGGUGCUGGCUCCCAUUUAGGACUUAAACAGUUUGCUAACAAUUUAACCCCAAAGUUUGUGUUUCGGUGCAGUAUCUCCCUGCCUCUCUACCCUUCCAUUUUCUUAAAUUAGUUAAACCAGAA